AGGGGUAUAGCUCAGCUGGUAGAGCAUCGGUCUCCAAAACCGAGGGUCGUGGGUUCGAGUCCCUCUGCCCCUGCCA
This 76-nucleotide transfer RNA is filed under the name Sphingomonas colocasiae. Its description in RNAcentral is "tRNA-Trp". It matches the Rfam family "tRNA". From Rfam's summary of the family: Transfer RNA (tRNA) molecules are approximately 80 nucleotides in length. Lineage: Bacteria; Pseudomonadati; Pseudomonadota; Alphaproteobacteria; Sphingomonadales; Sphingomonadaceae. RNAcentral also lists the same sequence under 4 other names. The record is from RNAcentral.